UGGGGAAUUUUGCACAAUGGGGGAAACCCUGAUGCAGCGACGCCGCGUGAUUUAGAAGGCCUUCGGGUUGUAAAAAUCUUUUCUAUGGGAAGAAAAUGACAGUACCAUAGGAAUAAGGACCGGCUAAUUACGUGCCAGCAGCCGCGGUAAUACGUAAGGUCCGAGCGUUGUCCGGAAUCAUUGGGCGUAAAGGGUACGUAGGCGGGUAAGCAAGUUAGAAGUGAAAUCCUAUAGCUCAACUAUAGUAAGCUUUUAAAACUGCUCAUCUUGGGGUAUGGAAGGGGAAGUGGAAUUCCUAGUGUGGCGGUGAAAUGCGCAGAUAUUAGGAGGAAUACCGGUGGCGAAGGCGACUUUCUGGCCAUAACCUGACGCUGAGGUACGAAAGCGUGGGUAGCAAACAGG
RNAcentral lists this ribosomal RNA (402 nucleotides) under bacterium. RNAcentral's name for it is "partial 16S ribosomal RNA". It matches the Rfam family "Bacterial small subunit ribosomal RNA", at positions 355 to 776 of the family's 1533-position model. The record is from RNAcentral.